RNAcentral lists this ribosomal RNA (426 nucleotides) under Pareas monticola. RNAcentral's name for it is "partial large subunit ribosomal RNA". The record is from RNAcentral. Lineage: Eukaryota; Metazoa; Chordata; Lepidosauria; Squamata; Pareidae.
AAUCAUUUGUCUAUUAAUUGUAGACCCGUAUGAAAGGCAAAAUGAAAGUCUAACUGUCUCUUGUAAUAGAUCAAUUAAACUGAUCUCCUAGUACAAAAGCUAGGAUACCCACAUAAGACCAGAAGACCCUGUGAAGCUUUAACUAACCCAUUAAACCAAAUAAUGACUACUUUCGGUUGGUGCGACCUUGGAAAAAAAGAAAACUUCCAAACAACAUGAUUAUACUCAUACCAAUAGGCCAACAAGCCACUAUCAGACCCAGUAUAGCUGAUAAAUGAACCAAGUUACUCCAGGGAUAACAGCGCUAUCUUCUUCAAGAGUCCAUAUCAAAWAGAAGGUUUACGACCUCGAUGUUGGAUCAGGACAUCCUGGUGGUGCAGCCGCUACCAAGGGUUCGUUUGUUCAACGACUAACGUCCUACGUGUA